Molecule: ribosomal RNA, 446 nt
Filed under: uncultured bacterium
Lineage: Bacteria
Description: SSU rRNA
Rfam family: Bacterial small subunit ribosomal RNA
Source: RNAcentral
AGAACGAACGCUGGCGGCAGGCCUAACACAUGCAAGUCGAACGCCGUAGCAAUACGGAGUGGCAGACGGGUGAGUAACACGUGGGAACGUACCCUUCGGUUCGGAAUAACUCAGGGAAACUUGUGCUAAUACCGGAUACGUCCGAAAGGAGAAAGAUUUAUCGCCGAGGGAUCGGCCCGCGUCUGAUUAGCUAGUUGGUGAGGUAACGGCUCACCAAGGCGACGAUCAGUAGCUGGUCUGAGAGGAUGAUCAGCCACAUUGGGACUGAGACACGGCCCAAACUCCUACGGGAGGCAGCAGUGGGGAAUAUUGGACAAUGGGCGCAAGCCUGAUCCAGCCAUGCCGCGUGAGUGAUGAAGGCCCUAGGGUUGUAAAGCUCUUUUACCUGGGAAGAUAAUGACGGUACCAGGAGAAUAAGCCCCGGCUAACUUCGUGCCAGCAGCCGC